Molecule: ribosomal RNA, 409 nt
Filed under: uncultured bacterium
Lineage: Bacteria
Description: bacterial SSU rRNA
Rfam family: Bacterial small subunit ribosomal RNA
Source: RNAcentral
GGUGAGUAAUACAUCGGAACGUGCCCGAGAGUGGGGAGUAACGCAGCGAAGACUGUGCUAAUACCGCAUACGAUCUACGGAUGAAAGCAGGGGAGUUCGCAAGGACCUUGCGCUCAUGGAGCGGCCGAUGGCAGAUUAGGUAGUUGGUGGGAUAAAAGCUUACCAAGCCGACGAUCUGUAGCUGGUCUGAGAGGACGACCAGCCACACUGGGACUGAGACACGGCCCAGACUCCUACGGGAGGCAGCAGUGGGGAAUUUUGGACAAUGGGCGAAAGCCUGAUCCAGCCAUGCCGCGUGCAGGAUGAAGGCCUUCGGUUGUAACUAGCUUUGUUACGGAACGAAAGAAUCUCUUCUAAUAAAGGGGUACCGAUGACGGUACCGUAAGAAUAAGCACCGGCUAACUACGUG